AUACGGAGGGUGCAAGCGUUACUCGGAAUCACUGGGCGUAAAGCGCGCGCAGGCGGGCUGAUAAGUUGGAUGUGAAAGCCUACGGCUCAACCGUAGAACUACAUCCAAAACUGUCAGUCUAGAGUGUGGGAGAGGAAGAUGGAAUUAGUUGUGUAGGGGUAAAAUCCGUAGAGAUAACUAGGAAUACCAAAAGCGAAGGCAAUCUUCUGGAACACUACUGACGCUGAGGCGCGAAGGCGUGGGGAGCAAACAGGAUUAGAAACCCCAGUAGUCC
This 274-nucleotide ribosomal RNA is filed under the name uncultured bacterium. RNAcentral's name for it is "partial 16S ribosomal RNA". It matches the Rfam family "Bacterial small subunit ribosomal RNA", at positions 523 to 796 of the family's 1533-position model. The record is from RNAcentral.